UUCCUACGGGAGGCAGCAGUGGGGAAUAUUGCACAAUGGGCGCAAGCCUGAUGCAGCAACGCCGCGUGAGGGAUGACGGCCUUCGGGUUGUAAACCUCUUUUAGCAGGGAAGAAGCGAAAGUGACGGUACCUGCAGAAAAAGCGCCGGCUAACUACGUGCCAGCAGCCGCGGUAAUACGUAGGGCGCAAGCGUUGUCCGGAAUUAUUGGGCGUAAAGAGCUCGUAGGCGGUCUGUCGCGUCUGCUGUGAAAUCCCGAGGCUCAACCUCGGGCUUGCAGUGGGUACGGGCAGACUAGAGUGCGGUAGGGGAGAAUGGAAUUCCUGGUGUAGCGGUGGAAUGCGCAGAUAUCAGGAGGAACACCGAUGGCGAAGGCAGUUCUCUGGGCCGUAACUGACGCUGAGGAGCGAAAGCGUGGGGAGCGAACAGGAUUAGAUACCCUGGUAGUCCACGCCGUAAACGUUGGGCGCUAGUUGUGGGGACCAUUCCACGGUCUCCGUGACGUAGCUAACGCAUUAAGCGCCCCGCCUGGGGAGUACGGCCGCAAGGCUAAAACUCAAAGGAAUUGACGG
Molecule: ribosomal RNA, 570 nt
Filed under: uncultured bacterium
Lineage: Bacteria
Description: bacterial SSU rRNA
Rfam family: Bacterial small subunit ribosomal RNA
Source: RNAcentral